UGCAUCUCUGUCUUUGACUUGUUUUCUCACAGAGGAAUUGGAAAUUGCAGUUGUUUUGUGAUGUGUAAAUUUUAUGUGGAAGAGGACAUGUGAAUAUUUGGGGAGACAGAAACCAAGGCACUUAAAAUGCAGAAAAAACAACAUUUUCAGAGAGAAUAUGAACUCUGAAAUAGUGAAGAUUAAACACAGAUAGUUCACGUCUUGUUACUCUUUCUUCUUUCUCUUCUCCUCUAACUCAAGAAGGUCUUCCAAUACCUUGUCAUCCAAAUACUCAAACUCAAUCACUUCCCCUUGUGCAGUAGAAGAACUUCCAAUGACACUAGUAGUAGAAGAAGAAGAAGAAGACGAUGAUGAGAAGAAAGGGAAAUGAGAAUGGUACUCCUGAGGGAAAUUAAGGAUUGCAAGAGCACCCCUUAAUUCUAUGGCUGCUCGAUCAUAAGCUCUUGCUGCUGCUUCUGCAGUGUCAAAUGUCCCCUACCAUUGUCUUCCCGUAGGUUUUGUUGGGUCUCUGAUCUCUGCUCCAAACUUACCCCAUGGCCUCCUUCUCACACCACGGUACCUUCCUUCUUCCCCUUUCUCCUUGUUAACUUUACCUGACUCCUCCAUGUUGUAACCUCUUGUUCUUCGGUUAUUCCCAGGUAACAGAAACAAUCUUAUUCGAGAUUGGAUAUUGGCUAUGAAUUUCUCUUUAAAUAGAAACUCCGACGUUGAUUCAGCAUGUUGUGAGAGACAAGAGUUUUGUAUGUGUUGGAUCAGUUAUGC
This 762-nucleotide long non-coding RNA is filed under the name Phaseolus vulgaris (common bean). RNAcentral describes it as "long non-coding RNA (PVUL_LNC001329)". The record is from RNAcentral. Lineage: Eukaryota; Viridiplantae; Streptophyta; Magnoliopsida; Fabales; Fabaceae.